AUAUAUAUACACACACACACACACACACACACACACACAGACACACCAUUGACACCAGUUUCUAAAUUAUCAUUAAAAAUCUACACCCUUAUGGAGAAAAUGCGAUAUUUACUUUUGCGCUCCAUUGGUACACACCUAAUAUUUUUUUUUUUUAUGUAUUUUUUUAUUUUCUCCCCUUUUCUCCCCAAUUUGGAAUGCCCAAUUUCCAAUGUGCUCUAAGUCCUCGUGGUGGCGUAGUGACUUCGCGUCUGAGACAGUCAAUCCGCGCAUCUUAUCACGUGGCUUGUUGAGCACAGUACCGUGGAGACCUAGCGCAUGUGGAGGCCCACGCUAUUCUCCACUGCAUCCAUGCACAACUCACCACGUGCCCCACCGAGAACGAGAACCACAUUAUAGAGACCACGAGGAGGUUAACCCAGCGUGACUCUACCCACCCUAGCAACCGGGCCAAUUGGUUGCUUAGGAAGCCUGGCUGGAGUCAUACAGCUAAUGAUUAAAGAAAGAUUUAAAAAAAGCAGUGGAUAUUUCUUAUGAUUCUUCACGCUGGAAUUCUGGAAGAAACUGCACCCUCCUUUUGUCCUUCGGGUCAUAUUUGACCCAUAUUGAGGAGAUAUAGCACGUGUGGAGGCUUCACGCCAUCCACCGCGGCAACCACGCUCAACUCACCACGCACCCCACCGAGAACGAACCACAUUAUAGUGACCACGAGGAGUUUACCCCAUGUGACUCUACUCUCCCUAGCAACCAGGCCAAUUUGGUUGCUUAGGAGACCUUGCUGGAGUCACUCAGCACGCCCUGGGAUUCGAACUAGGGAACUCCAGGGGUGGAAGGGAGUAACCAUAUUUAAAAAAAUUUAAAAUUAUUAUUAUUAUUUAUUUUUUUACGUGGCAAACAUUGGUCAAGGAUAUUUUUUUAGGAAGGUGCUGUAACAGAUAUUUCUGCAAUCUGAUGUUUUAGGAGUAAAUUAUAUUCAAUAGGUCUUUUACCAUUGGCAGGGCUUUAGCCCCAUUGUACACCAUCAUAUAGAAUCAUGUUAGUAUAUGUAUUUACUAACAUAUUACCGGUUGAAAACUGUAAACUACUCUCUACAUCCUCACUAAUAUAGUAAAACCAAUGUGUGUGUGUGUGUGUGUGUGUGUGUGAGUGUGUUUGAGUUCUGGUUGUGUUUAGGAUUCCUAUACGGCUUUAACAGUCUUCUACAUUUCAAAGGGUUGUUUACCGAGCAUACUACACACUCACACUGGCUGUUUUUAAAUCACUCCUUCAGUGUGGCAGUGUAAACAAACAUUAGUUUGGCCUGUGUUACACACACUUUGGAAUAACACACACACAGAGAGGGCUUCAAACACAUGGCCAUACACACACUGUCAUCUGUCUUAAAACACAGACCAUCCAUCACAGCAGCGGAGUCGAUGUGUCUGACACACACACUCUCACUUUUAACACCACUAAACACACACAUACACACUGAGGUGAUUUGAAGCAGCCAAGAGAAAACACAUCGAUUCGAUGCGCUGGAUGAUGAUGUCAUACCACGCACAGCCUGGAGACGCCCGCUUAAUACCUGUGACGGACUGUGUGUGUAAUAUAUGAAUCAGUUAUUCUGCAUGACAUUCUAUUGGGUCCAAAAUUCUGAGACCACAACAGAAAUGUAACAUUUUUCAUUAGACAUUAUAUUAUCAGCAUAACAAUGAGUAUAAAGUUGAACUGAAAAAUACACAAUCAUUUGCGAAUGUCUUAGUAUUUGGUAUGAGUCUUUUUUGCAUUAAUGACAGCACAAACUGGAGCUGAACAUGAACAAAACCUGAUGAUCAUGUCAUGACAUUUAUUUAUUUUUUUCCUUUUCUCCCUAAUUUGGAAUGCCCAAUUCCCAAUGUGCUUUUUUAAGUCCUCGUGGUGGUGUAAUGACUCGCCUCAAUCCGUGUGGCGGAGGACGAAUCCCAGUUGCCUCCGCCUCUGAGACCGUCAACCCGCGCAUCUUAUCAUGUGGCAUGUUGAGCGCGUUGCCACGGAGACAUAGCGUGUGUGGAGGCUUCACGGCAUCCACCGCGGCAACCACGCACAACUCACCACGCGCCCCACCGAAAACAAACCACAUUAUAGCGACCACGAGGAGGUUACACCAUGUGACUGUACCCUCCCUAGCAACCGGGCCAAUUUGGUUGCUUAGGAGACCUGGUUGGCGAACUCCAGGGGUGGUAGCCAGCGUAUUUUACCACUGAGCUACCCAGACCCCCAUUUGUUUUAUUUUUGACAAAAUUCUAAAAACGUAGAAAUCCCAGAUUUUCAAUGUGGACUGAGACGUUUGGACACCACUCUACAGAAAACUAAUUUUCUAUACAGCGAACACGUUAACGAGCCCCAGAGAGAGGAAAUGAGAGUGUAACAGUAUUUUCUAUGUUCAUUGAUGUCUUGUUAAAGUUUAUUUAAUAGUGUAUACUGUACAGUAUAUUGUUAUUGUUACUGUUUAAUUAAUAAUAUUAUUUGUGUGUGUGUGUGUGUGUGUGUGUGUGUGUGUGUAUAUUGAUGCUUUGACAAUAUUGUGUGUAAACACAAUCAUGCCAAAUAAGUACUUUGAAAUUGACCCCUUAAUGGACUUCAAAGCAAAAAGUGUCAUCUAGGACAGGGGUUUUCAAACUGGGGUCCGGAGACCCCCAGGGGGCCGCAAGGGGGUGCUUGGGUUCCGAAAAAAAUAAAAAUAAAUAAAUAAAUAUAUAUAUAUAUAUAUAUAUAUAUAUAUAUAUAUAUAUAUAUAUAUAUAUAUAUAUUGUUCAGAGCAAAGGUAUUAUUAUUAUUAUUAUUAUUAUUAGACAUUAUAACAGUUUAAUGUAUUCAGACACUGUACAGAAACGGGUUUGUUACUGUAUUUUAUAAUGAAAUAAGUGUUUAAUUUGCCGUGUUUGCCAAGAAUAGCCUCACCGUUACUAUUAUUCAUAGUUGGAUUAGCGAUUCAAACAAACCUCAAACCCAUGUAUCAUUAUUUGUCAUGGAAAUAAAGCACAUUAAACUGA
This is a long non-coding RNA of Myxocyprinus asiaticus (Chinese sucker), 3011 nucleotides long. RefSeq lists it as uncharacterized. NCBI's taxonomy places the organism in Eukaryota, Metazoa, Chordata, Actinopteri, Cypriniformes, Catostomidae. The transcript is spliced from 2 exons. The record is from RefSeq and is a predicted model, not a curated record.